GACGAACGCUGGCGGCGUGCUUAACACAUGCAAGUCGAACGGAAAGGCCCUGCUUUUGUGGGGUGCUCGAGUGGCGAACGGGUGAGUAACCCGUGAGUAACCUGCCCUUGACUUUGGGAUAACUUCAGGCAACUGGGGCUAAUACCGGAUAGGAGCUCCUGCUGCAUGGUGGGGGUUGGAAAGUUUCGGCGGUUGGGGAUGGACUCGCGGCUUAUCAGCUUGUUGGUGGGGUAGUGGCUUACCAAGGCUUUGACGGGUAGCCGGCCUGAGAGGGUGACCGGCCACAUUGGGACUGAGAGACGGCCCAGACUCCUACGGGAGGCAGCAGUGGGGAAUAUUGCACAAUGGGCGGAAGCCUGAUGCAGCAACGCCGCGUGCGGGAUGACGGCCUUCGGGUUGUAAACCGCUUUCGCCUGUGACGAAGCGUGAGUGACGGUAAUGGGUAAAGAAGCACCGGCUAACUACGUG
Molecule: ribosomal RNA, 468 nt
Filed under: uncultured bacterium
Lineage: Bacteria
Description: partial 16S ribosomal RNA
Rfam family: Bacterial small subunit ribosomal RNA
Source: RNAcentral